GUCAAGUGCUCUGUGUUGGGCUUAGCCAAUGGAGUGCGUUGCCACCCUAUUUAUUUGUGGGUAACUUUGAACUCGGGAGGCGCGACAAUCCGUCCCCCCUCACCUUGCCGGGUCCUGUCACACCCCUUCCUGUUUGCUUGUGGCUGGUAAGCACGAUUGCGUUUUGAUCUUCCUGUUAUUCUGCUUACCUUUUUCAUGUAUUGCGAUCAUGACCGAAUCUGGUUACUUUCUCAGUGUCCCCACCGCUUGGCUCUGCGGUCUCGGUCAGCAAAUGCUCAACUUUGCGAGGCGACUUCUCUGCCAGUGAUUGAACCUUUUCUAUGGUCGUGCCCAGCGGUGCAUGUCGUGCACGGUGAAUUCCCAAAUGUGCUUGUGCCGUCGCUAAUGAAGCACUGAUGCUCUGAAGUCUACGCAUUUCGCUGGGAGUAGGCGAAGUUGUGAAUCACCUGGUACGUGCCAUCCUUUCGAUUUUUCCCUACUCCGCGUUUAUUAUGCAUAGUGUUAAUCAGGCGUUUCAUUGUACUCUCUAGGUGUUGCCGGUUUUGCUCUGUUGCUGCUGCUGUUCUUGCCAACGCCAAAUUCUACUGAGUGCUGCUUCGCUGGCUGGUGUAACCUUGAACUAGCCGCCUGCACUACGAGAGCCGUGACUGAAACACCAACCACUAAAGCACUUUAAACGGCCUUAUCGCUUUUUAACAUUUGCAGUGUGAACGUGUGUGUGUGUGUGUGUGUGUGUGUGUGUGUGUGUGUGUGUGUGUGUGUGUGUGUGUGUGUGUGUGUGGUUGUGUUCGUCAAUUUGUGUGUGUGUGUGGGGAUCCUUUCCUUUUUGGGUUACUAAGUUGAGGGAUUUUGUUUUGUUUUUGUCCUGCUUAAGUUCCACCACUGGCAGGAGGCCCUUUUUGCCAUAGCUGUAGAUAGCCAGUGGGCUGUCUUAUUAUUGGGCCUGUGUUGUACUUUAUUUUCGAUUAAUCGCUUUUCUUUUGUACCAUUUGUUUAUUUCAUUUAAGGCUACAAGCGCCUUAUUUAUAUUCAUUUUUGUUUGAGACCAAUCACGCCUACACCUUCCCUGUGUAGUAGCAAACAAUUGUUUGUUAAGUGCAUGUUAACUCUGGUGGGAGGCUUAGGUCAGCUGCGGAUCAUCAAUGAUCCAGUUUCCCCUCCCCUUAGUCUGUAACUGGCGUGAUUGAGUCAUUUCUUGUUUAUUUGUGUUGUAUUCUGACCCUCCCCUUACCUCUCCUCUUCUUCUUUAUUUUACAGGUGCUGAGUGCCCAAAGCAGGGUGGCAGUAGAUCCCAAAGGUGGUGGUAUUUCCUGCUAGGACCAGCAUGGGGUAUUUGAGGGGGAGGCCGUGACCAGGACGAAUGCAAUGCCAAAGCACAGACUGCACAACGCCCAAGUUGGUGAGGAUCAGCAGGAGUUAAAUGUGAAGAACCCAUGGGCGGCUGAUGACCUCCACCAUUGGUGCAGGGAGCUUUGCAGACUGGACAGUGGUUGUUAGUGGAAUGCACAAUGAUGAACCAGGGCCCAGCAGAGCUGCACCAGGGGCUUCGGAGUUGAGUGGGGAUCAGAUCCAGGACAUGGCUGGCCUGUGGCUAUAUUAUAUUAUUUCAUAUUGGUUUUUUUUCACAGUCAUGGCUGUAUGUCUUUGUUUUUGCUUUUUGAGCAUGCUGCAGUGCUUUUAUUUAGCUUGUUUUUAAUGUUUGUGUUUCAAUAAAAUGCUGAUG
Engraulis encrasicolus (European anchovy) is the source of this 1723-nucleotide long non-coding RNA. RefSeq lists it as uncharacterized. The record is from RefSeq and is a predicted model, not a curated record. Lineage: Eukaryota; Metazoa; Chordata; Actinopteri; Clupeiformes; Engraulidae. The transcript is spliced from 4 exons.